GCGGGGAUGGCUCAGUUGGGAGGGCGUCAGACUGAAGAUCCGAAGGUCCCGUGUUCGAUCCACGCUCACCGCA
Transfer RNA from Cajanus cajan (pigeon pea), 73 nucleotides. It matches the Rfam family "tRNA". From Rfam's summary of the family: Transfer RNA (tRNA) molecules are approximately 80 nucleotides in length. Their secondary structure includes four short double-helical elements and three loops (D, anti-codon, and T loops). Further hydrogen bonds mediate the characteristic L-shaped molecular structure. tRNAs have two regions of fundamental functional importance: the anti-codon, which is responsible for specific mRNA codon recognition, and the 3' end, to which the tRNAs corresponding amino acid is attached (by aminoacyl-tRNA synthetases). tRNAs cope with the degeneracy of the genetic code in two manners: having more than one tRNA (with a specific anti-codon) for a particular amino acid; and 'wobble' base-pairing, i.e. permitting non-standard base-pairing at the 3rd anti-codon position. The record is from Rfam. NCBI's taxonomy places the organism in Eukaryota, Viridiplantae, Streptophyta, Magnoliopsida, Fabales, Fabaceae.